This 480-nucleotide ribosomal RNA is filed under the name uncultured rumen bacterium 231cARRO. RNAcentral describes it as "partial 16S ribosomal RNA". It matches the Rfam family "Bacterial small subunit ribosomal RNA", at positions 425 to 896 of the family's 1533-position model. Lineage: Bacteria; Pseudomonadati; Bacteroidota. The record is from RNAcentral.
GAAAANGNGUNAUNAAGNNNGGNAUAAAGGUGGNNNANGGAUAAGGNUUUAGGUAAGUAGGGNANGGAAUAAGGACCGGNUGAUUCCCGUGCCAGCAGCCCGCGGUAAUACGGAAGGUCCGGGCGUUAUCCGGAUUUAAUUGGGUUUAAAGGGAGCGCAGGCGGAAGAUUAAGCGUGACGUGAAAUGUCCCGGCUCAACCGUGGAACUGCGUCGCGAACUGGUUUUNCUUGAGUGAGUGCGACGUCGGCGGAAUUNGUGGUGUAGCGGUGAAAUGCUUAGAUAUCACGAAGAACCCCGAUUGCGAAGGCAGCCGACGAGUCCUUAACUGACGCUAAAGCUCGAAAGUGCGGGUAUCGAACAGGAUUAGAUACCCUGGUAGUCCGCACGGUAAACGAUGGAUGCCCGCUGUUGGCGAUAUAGUGUCAGCGGCCAAGCGAAAGCGUUAAGCAUCCCACCUGGGGAGUACGCCGGCAAACUUG